UCCUGUUGUAUUGUGGUUUGCCCCUUCACUCUGUGCCAGUUCAUUGUUUCCCAUGCCAGUGUUUCUUGUGCCCCCUGUGUUUUGUGGAUUCACUUUGGAUUUACUUUCAGUUGGACCUUUUGGAUUAUUCCCCUGUUGUGUUUUGGGCUGCUCACACCAUAUCAACUAUGUCUACAUGGUCGGAGGGUGGCCGAUGUCCAGUCUCCUCUGUGCGGAGCCUCUUUUCCGGGCAGCUGGUACAGCGCUGACUACACUUCCCAGUGUGCCUGGGGUCUGGAAGAAAGCCUUAGCAGCAGACGAUGUGGUUUCCUUUGGUGUCUGUGAAGCAUCUCCUUCUGCGCCGUCGUCCUCGUGCCCCGCUCCGGCCUCUCUGGCCUCGGUGGCCAACGCCAUCUGGAUGUGGUAGCCCUGCUGCCGACCCCUCCGCUGCAGCUCCUCCAGCGUGGCCUCCAGCCGCUGACGGCCGUACCAGGUGUAGCUGUUCUUGGCUAUCCGACCCACAAUCAUCAGAGACUCUAAUACGUUGACGAUGUCAUAGAUACGCCGCCGCUCCACUCCUGACAAGUUCAACAGAAGAGCAGAGAACUGAUCUGCCCGUUCUUAGAA
Molecule: long non-coding RNA, 606 nt
Organism: Micropterus dolomieu (smallmouth bass)
Lineage: Eukaryota; Metazoa; Chordata; Actinopteri; Centrarchiformes; Centrarchidae
Exons: 3
Source: RefSeq, a predicted model, not a curated record